Molecule: ribosomal RNA, 253 nt
Filed under: uncultured bacterium
Lineage: Bacteria
Description: partial 16S ribosomal RNA
Rfam family: Bacterial small subunit ribosomal RNA
Source: RNAcentral
AACGUAGGACGCGAGCGUUAUCCGGAGUUACUGGGCGUAAAGGGUGGGCAGGCGGCCGUGUCAGAUGGGUGUGAAAUCUCCCGGCUCAACCGGGAGGGGCCACUCGUGACUGCACGGCUGGAGGGCAGCAGAGGCGCGUGGAAUUCCGGGUGGGGUGGUGAAAUGCGUAGAGAUCCGGAGGAACACCAGAGGCGAAGGCGGCGCGCUGGGCUGCACCUGACGCUGAACCACGAAAGCCAGGGUAGCGAACGGG